GCGGGAAUGGCGAAAUUGGCAGACGCACCAGACUUAGGAUCUGGCGUUGAAAGACGUGGAGGUUCGAGUCCUCUUUCCCGCACCA
This 85-nucleotide transfer RNA is filed under the name Helicobacteraceae bacterium. RNAcentral's name for it is "tRNA-Leu". It matches the Rfam family "tRNA". Rfam says of the family: Transfer RNA (tRNA) molecules are approximately 80 nucleotides in length. Their secondary structure includes four short double-helical elements and three loops (D, anti-codon, and T loops). Further hydrogen bonds mediate the characteristic L-shaped molecular structure. tRNAs have two regions of fundamental functional importance: the anti-codon, which is responsible for specific mRNA codon recognition, and the 3' end, to which the tRNAs corresponding amino acid is attached (by aminoacyl-tRNA synthetases). tRNAs cope with the degeneracy of the genetic code in two manners: having more than one tRNA (with a specific anti-codon) for a particular amino acid; and 'wobble' base-pairing, i.e. permitting non-standard base-pairing at the 3rd anti-codon position. Lineage: Bacteria; Pseudomonadati; Campylobacterota; Epsilonproteobacteria; Campylobacterales; Helicobacteraceae. The record is from RNAcentral.